CUAAACGUCCGUAGCCGGUCUGGUACAUUCGUGGGUAAAUCAACCCGCUCAACUGGUUGAAUUCUGCGAGGACGGCCAGACUUGGGACCGGGAGAGGUGUGGGGUACUCUCAGGGUAGGGGUAAAAUCCUGUCAUCCUGAGAGGACCACCUGUUGCGAAGGCGCCACACUAGAACGGAUCCGACGGUCAGGGACGAAGCCUAGGGGCACGAACCGGAUUAGAUACCCGGGUAGUCCUAGGUGUAAACGCUGUGGACUUGAUGUUGGGGAUGCUCCGAGCAUUCUCAGUGUCGAAGCGAAGGUGAUAAGUCCACUGCCUGGGGAGUACGGUCGCAAGGCUGAAACUUAAAGGAAUUGGCGGGGGAGC
RNAcentral lists this ribosomal RNA (366 nucleotides) under uncultured archaeon. Its description in RNAcentral is "bacterial SSU rRNA". It matches the Rfam family "Archaeal small subunit ribosomal RNA", at positions 511 to 877 of the family's 1478-position model. The record is from RNAcentral.